RNAcentral lists this transfer-messenger RNA (398 nucleotides) under Chloroflexota bacterium. Its description in RNAcentral is "Chloroflexi bacterium (anaerobic digester metagenome) transfer-messenger RNA". It matches the Rfam family "transfer-messenger RNA". From Rfam's summary of the family: Bacterial tmRNA, also known as 10Sa RNA or SsrA, is named for its dual tRNA and mRNA-like properties. Its role is to liberate the mRNA from a stalled ribosome. Lineage: Bacteria; Bacillati; Chloroflexota. The record is from RNAcentral.
GGGGAUGACAGGCUUCGACGGAGGAGGCUGGUCCCGGGUGGCGAGUCGAGAGGAGCCGAACUCGUAAAAUCAGCUCAAAAAAUCAAGUGCCAACAAUCGCACUUACUCUGCACUGCCCCUGGCUGCGUAAGUAGCUAAGUAGUGUGGAUGGCUCCAACAGUGAGCCACGUCUGCCAGCAACGCUCUUUGACCGCUCGCUGGACAGGCGCCACAAAGUCAAAGUGCCAGGCGGAAAUGUCGCGGUCCGCCUGAAAGAAAGGCCUUCGGGCCUGAGUGACUGGUUGAAUGCCCGUUUUGUUGGUCUCCGGACAUUCAACGAGACUAAGGACCAACUACACUCGUAGAAGCUCGAGGAUCGAAUCUUUCGGACGCGAGUUCAAUUCUCGCCAUCUCCACUG